CCCGCGACUCGGCGAGAAGUCCAUUGAACCUUAUCAUUUAGAGGAAGGAGAAGUCGUAACAAGGUUUCCGUAGGUGAACCUGCGGAAGGAUCAUUG
Molecule: ribosomal RNA, 96 nt
Filed under: Cischweinfia dasyandra
Lineage: Eukaryota; Viridiplantae; Streptophyta; Magnoliopsida; Asparagales; Orchidaceae
Also listed under: 30 other names
Description: partial 18S ribosomal RNA
Rfam family: Eukaryotic small subunit ribosomal RNA
Source: RNAcentral